UUGAGAUUCUAUGAAGAUAAUAAAAUCUCACGUAGACUAUUCAUCUUAUCAAUAAUAAUUUAAUUUUUGUGCAUUGCAUUAGAAAAAUAUCUUUCCUCUACUCUUGUAAUAAGGGCUCUAUUUUUAGAUAUCACAAAAUUAUAUCUUUGGUCCAAGACUAUUCUCCCAUGGUUCAUAUCUUUUUGUUUAUAUAAUGUUGACUACCUUUUAAAAAUUGUUUUACAUACAUCUUGAAUUUACUCAAAUCUUCAGUCCAAAUGUCUUCUAAGUCCAUGUUGUAAUUCUCUUGUACAUGAAGACCGUUGUUUCUUUGUCCUCAUCAUUUACGUCAAAAUAAAUUAAUCCUCGUAAAAAAAUUCUAACGGCAAUGUCAAGGAAUUUUUGAAACAUAUGUCUUUGAACUUGUUUAGCUUCAGCCUUUGAAAACCUCCCAUAAUUUAACUUUUCUUCCAUUGGUUAAUGUUGCAUACCAAAUGGUGAUUGUGUCCUUAGCUGAUAUUUAUGGUUCAGUUUUGUUAUUGAUCAUUGAUCUUAGUUGACUGAUCAUAAUAUAUUAAUAAAAAUCAAAUUACAUGGUAAUCAGUAAAUUGGUGAACAAGACAGCAACAAAUUCAAAGUUUAGUGAUGAUAAUCAGUAACAAAUUCAACUCUGAUGAUUCUUUGCAACAAAAGAAUUUAACUAAAUAUCAUUCUUAAUCACAUGUCUAACAAAAAUCAGUCAUUCCAAUUACAUGGUAAUUACAAUAUGCAAAUUGGAAUCCAAGAUAUGCAGAGGCGCAUUCAUAAGCAGUGCUAGUUUUUGAUUGUGUAGUUUUUGAUUGUGAAUGGCGGCUCAUCACGGUGAGCCAGAAAAAUCCGCCAUAAAGUUAUAGCGGAAAAUGGUGGAAAUGGCGGCGGAUUACCUAAAAAAAUAAACAUAUGUACAAAAAAAACUUGCACGAAAAUUGCUAAUAUAAUAAACUAAAAAAUCUAUCUAUAUAAGCAACUUUUUAGUCAUUAAGUAUCCAAUUAAUGUAGCAAAUAUAGUAGCAAAUUUAGCAAAUAAACAUAACAUUAAGUUCAAAUCAUUAACUCAAAAAGUCAUAGGUACCCACAAAAUAAAAGACAUAAAACAUAAAAACUAUAAACUAUCUAAAUUUUAGCUCUCAUCAAAUUUAUCCAAAUUAACACGGAUUGAUGGAGGUACACCUGCUGCAUCAAGGGAACAAUUGGUUACAGAUUUCCAGAAAAAGGAUUCUACCAAGGCUGCUGUGAUAUGUUAUCCAUUAAAGCUGGAGGAGUUGGAUUAACUUUAACUGCUGCAAGCACAAUUAUCUUUGACUGUCCUGGACUCCAGGUGACCUAAUUCUGGCCGAAGAUCGAGCUCAUAGAAUUGGCUAGUAUUCUCACUCUCAUGAAGUAGAAAGGAGAGAGCUGUUACUAGUUGCAUGACAAUAAGAAAACAGAUAAUAUCUCAUGAGGUCUUACUUUUUUUAGCAAAGGCAACAUGCACUGUUAUGGUUCUUUGACUAAUUAUUUCUUGUUUCCAGGUCACUUCAGUAAAUAUAUACUACUUGCUGGCAAAUAAUACGGUUGAUGACAUCAUAUGGGAUGUGGUGCAAUUCAAACUGGUUAAUUUGGGGCAGUCUGAGGUGGUAGUCUUCAAGGCCGAGUUGGAUAAAGGGUUUGAAUGUGGAGCUUGAAUCCAAGAACAAGAAGCUCAGUGAGGAUCUUGCUGCUGCUGAAGCUAAGAUGGUAGUAGCUGUUGGUACCAGUGGCAAGAUGCUGCCUACAUGGACAUUGAAGAAGUCUUAAAGUUUGUUGAUGGGCUUGUUGGUGAACUAUCCUCAUUGGUACAUUUCUCAGAAAAUUAUUGAUCUGGUGGAUGAGCGUGCUGUCUUGAAACAUUUCAAGUGGUCUGAGAAGAAAGCCGAUGCGAUGCAAGAGGCUGCGGUUGAGUAUCAGGAGCUUAAGCUAUUAGAACAGGAGAUUUCCUCCUACAUGGAUGACCCCGACAUUCCAUGUGGAGCUGCUUUGGAAAAAAUGGCCAGCCUCUUAGACAAGUCUGAACUGAGCAUACAAAGGCUAAUCAAGCUGCGAAAUUCUGUCAUGCGUUCGUACCAAGCCUACACAUUCCAACCGCUUGGAUGCUCGAUUCGGGGAUAAUUAGCAAGAUAAAGCAGGCUUCCAUGACUCUAGCCAAGAUGUACAUGAAAAGAGUGACAAUGGAGCUCGAAUCCAACUGGAACACAGACAGAGAAUCUAGCCAAGAUUCUCUUCUGCUUCAGGGGGUUCAUUUUGAAUACAGAGAUUAUCAGUUUGCUGGAGGCCUAGACUCGGAAACACUGCGCUUUCGAAGAGAUAAGGCAACGCGUGCCGGGACACCUUGCAGCAGGGUCUCGAGAACCUUUGGCUGGCAUACCAAUGGCAAUCAUCAUGAAAAGCCAUUGAUUUUCUUCUACUAUGCUCUUUUGGACUCUUGGUUGUCACCACCAAAAGCUGGAAUACUAACAUUCAUUACUAUUAUUCUUUUUUGUUUUCCUCCUUAUCUAUCUCCCUCCAAUGGUCCCAAAAUAGAAGAGAUAACAAAAAUGGAGAAACACCACCAUAUUCACAUCACAAUCAUGCAUGAGAUGAGGUUGAUCUUUAUGAAGAGGGAAUGGCUAAUAUGCUAUCAAAAUGGUUACAAACUAGCAGCUUCCAAGAUCAACAUGUUACAAUAUAGGAAUAGGAUAUUAAUAGUUCAGUGUUAUUAAAUUUCCAACAGUGAAUUUGUUUGGUGUAUGUACAAUGUACUUGUGUUUAUUGCUGUAAUAACAAUAAAUAAUUAAGAGGAAAAGUGUUUACUUAGUUUAUAGCAGUGAUGU
Arachis ipaensis is the source of this 2846-nucleotide non-coding RNA. NCBI's taxonomy places the organism in Eukaryota, Viridiplantae, Streptophyta, Magnoliopsida, Fabales, Fabaceae. The record is from RefSeq and is a predicted model, not a curated record.